UCCCGGGUAGUGUAGCGGUAACACGACGCUCUUUGACAGCGUUAUCCAUGGUUCGAAUCCAUGCCCGGGAGCCA
RNAcentral lists this transfer RNA (74 nucleotides) under Elusimicrobiota bacterium. Its description in RNAcentral is "Elusimicrobia bacterium (groundwater metagenome) tRNA-Gln". It matches the Rfam family "tRNA". Rfam says of the family: Transfer RNA (tRNA) molecules are approximately 80 nucleotides in length. Their secondary structure includes four short double-helical elements and three loops (D, anti-codon, and T loops). The record is from RNAcentral. Lineage: Bacteria; Pseudomonadati; Elusimicrobiota. RNAcentral also lists the same sequence under 1 other name.